UCCUAUCAUUGCCUGGAACUCUUUGCACUGUCCCUUCAAGCCUUCGAACUCCCAGAAGGAGCCACCAGCUUCUUUUGCCAAGGGCUAUCUUCCUGGAGCUGGGGGCGGUGGUUUUAUCCUCCUCUCAGGCUGGGGAAUCAAGGACUGGCUCUUGCCACAGAAUUGCUGGGCAGCUCAGGUUCCACUCUGGUUGGGAAUGUUGAUAAUGGCCGAGGCUGUGCAUGAGUCGGGGCAGAAGGUGCUGAGGUGGCCUGAAGAGCUGGCACCUUGCCUAUGAGGACCCUGCUCCUGCCAGUGGCUAAGCCAGCUGCUCGCUGCCACCAAGCCAC
Molecule: long non-coding RNA, 329 nt
Organism: Lemur catta (Ring-tailed lemur)
Lineage: Eukaryota; Metazoa; Chordata; Mammalia; Primates; Lemuridae
Exons: 3
Source: RefSeq, a predicted model, not a curated record